Molecule: long non-coding RNA, 2188 nt
Organism: Triplophysa dalaica
Lineage: Eukaryota; Metazoa; Chordata; Actinopteri; Cypriniformes; Nemacheilidae
Exons: 2
Source: RefSeq, a predicted model, not a curated record
GCGUGAAACUCCGUCUACUUCUGUUCGAAACAAUUUACGGCAGUUUUAAUAAAAAAAGUUGUUUGUCCAUACCGGAAAUAUUUUUUUAUAUAAACUCUGUAUAAAAAAAGAGCAAUUAACACCAAAAGACAUCAAAGAUAUUACAAAUGAUAAUGGUUUGGUGAAACGUACGGAGGGAUACACAAGGAAUCCUGUAAAGAGUGAAAAGUAGUUUUUCUCUAAUAAUCUUUAUGUUGCUUUUUAUUAUAUUUUUUGAUUCCAAGAAAAUACAAUAUGACAAAAUAUUAUAUGUCAGGAGUGAGAAACUGAUUUUUAUAUAAAAAUACUUCUUUAUUUAUAGAAAAACUAUAAAACUUAAAAUGAAUAUGUUUAUUAGUGAUUCUCUUAAAACCUUUUUUGGCAAAGUAUGUCAAGGUUAAUAUGUGGCACAAAUUGAUAACCUAAUUAAAUAAUUGAAAUCCUUACCUGGUUACCCUUGACAAGCAGGGUUUUCAGAAUUCAUCCAAUUUAUAUAUACAUUUGUUCCUUAUUUUCUUUAGUAAUUCACUAAAUCUCACCCCCCCACCCAGCCUCUCUCAAUCACACAAUCAAACACCUAUUAAUCUACUUAAAUUGCUGAUUGAGGAACAGGACAUUGACCUAACAUUUCUAAUAUUUUAACAAAUGUCUGCGUUUAAGAAACACACAGAAAAAGUUAUUUAUGUAUUUAUUACAUUUAUUUACACAUUUGGUUAUUCCAAACCCCACCCACCCACACAGUCAACCUAACGACGCUCUGAAGGACAGUCAGGAAUCUCUCCUUUUAAGAGAAAUUUCUGAAGUCGUUCAUAAAACACAAUCGAAUCCAUAGCGCAGUCAACCAUUUUUGUACUCUCCAAUAUCACCACUAACAGACUGUCGUAAAACGUCUGCGAUAACAGGAAGUGGUGCCAAUUGAAACGCGUCGACUGUCGUAAAAACGGGAUUUACAGGAAGUAGACGCACUUUCGCGCAUGCGCGGAACAAAUCGUGUUUCCGGGACGGAUCGGGGAGCGACAAGCGACACGCAUCGAGUCGACUGUCGUGAAAAUGGGAAUUACCGGAAGUAGACGCACUUUCGCGCAUGCGCGGAACAAAUCGUGUUUCCGGGACGGAUCGGGUAGCGACAAACCCGAAACUGACAUCCCGACUUCUGGCGACAGCGGAAGUUCGUCGCAACACUUUUGCACAUAUUCUAUUGUUCGAGUGUGGUGUGAACCCAGGAUAAUGCAUUAUAAAAGGAGCUGUGUGUCAUAUUGACACCUAGCAGGUUGAUCUUGGUAUCGCAGCCCAAAUUCAAAAUAUUGGCGAUGGUUUCCCUGCCCCUCCUCAGACCCGACACUCACAGGAGUCACCAGACACUUACAGGGGUGUAAUGGAAAUCAUUGACUCUUCCACAGAUGCCCAUCCCGAGGUAGGAAGAAGUUCCACCAUGUCCAGACGACCGACAGAUGCCCAUCCCCAAUUUGAGAUUACACCAGCUACAGCUGCAGACUGACUGACCAUCCCAGCUCCAUCUAAGGCAAUUCCACCACCAGCCAAGAGAAAUAUGACCAUCGGACCAUCCCAGCUCAGACCACUACAUCCCCAACCAAGAGCAAAGACGGACUAUUUGUCUUAUUAAUGCUGAAGUUACAAUAUUUGAUAUUAAAUGCUAAACUAAAAUCACAUGUCAACAGUUUGAGUGCAGCUAUGACACGUCAGAGGGGAUCUCGCCCUCCCGGCUGAGCCUGGUUCAAUCAUGGGAGUUUGGGUUUAGGCUAUAGCAGUGUUUUUAGGACAAACCAAUAUAUGAAGAGAUCAUUUCCUAAAUGAGAUUUUCCAAAAAUCAUGUUUUUUAUGGUGCAUUCCAAUUAUUAUCUAUCAAACUGCAGUUGGUUUGUUUUGAUUUGUAUCCAUAAUAACUAAAAAAAUACAGCUAACUAACACAAUAAAACAUGAUUUGUGGAAAAUUAUCUCAUUUUGGAACCAAAGUCUUCAUAUGAAACUUAGCAUGUUUCCUAAAUGCCAAUGAACGUAUUAAGGUAUUUUCUUGACUAAAUACAGUAAAAAAAUUACAUACAGCUCCUUUAAGGGUUAUUAAAUGGUGUGAUGCAUUAAAAUUGUUUAUAAUGUGUAUUUUAAUACAUUAAAUACAGUUGAAAAGCCACAAAUAAAAAAGUGAAAUUAA